Molecule: unclassified non-coding RNA, 353 nt
Filed under: fungal sp.
Lineage: Eukaryota; Fungi
Description: partial internal transcribed spacer region
Rfam family: Eukaryotic small subunit ribosomal RNA (bases 1-46)
Source: RNAcentral
AAGUCGUAACAAGGUUUCCGUAGGUGAACCUGCGGAAGGAUCAUUAACACGUAUCCAAACGUUAACCCCCCUGUGAACCUUCAAUGUGCUCGUACACUUUGUCAAAGCGAGGCAAUCCGUGUGCAUGUUGCGCGAGGCAAGUGGCCUGGCAUUCCCAAGCAGUUAAUGUCUGAAAGUGUCAUUAGCUGUGUAAGGAUGACGCAGUAACGAUCGUUGGAGGCCGACACGGCCGACGACCGGGUCACCGGGCGCAAGCCCCUUUAUCACCACUUAAUGCAUGACAGACGCGCCAGCGCUUAAUUGUGCGGCGACCAAAAACCGAACAACUGUUAACAAUGGAUAUCUUGGUUCUC